GUGAGGAAUAUUGGACAAUGGGUGAGAGCCUGAUCCAGCCAUCCCGCGUGCAGGAAGACGGCCCUAUGGGUUGUAAACUGCUUUUAUACAGGAAUAAACCACCUUACGCGUAGGGUGUUGAAGGUACUGUAUGAAUAAGCACCGGCUAACUCCGUGCCAGCAGCCGCGGUAAUACGGAGGGUGCAAGCGUUAUCCGGAUUUAUUGGGUUUAAAGGGUCCGCAGGCGGGCUUGUAAGUCAGGGGUGAAAUCCGGCAGCUUAACUGUCGAAUUGCCUUUGAAACUGCAGGUCUUGAGUAAGAUUGAAGUAGCUGGAAUGUGUAGUGUAGCGGUGAAAUGCAUAGAUAUUACACGGAACACCAAUAGCGUAGGCAGGUUACUAACUCUUAACUGACGCUGAGGGACGAAAGCGUGGGGAGCGAACAGGAUUAGAAACCCUUGUAGUCC
RNAcentral lists this ribosomal RNA (445 nucleotides) under uncultured bacterium. RNAcentral's name for it is "bacterial SSU rRNA". It matches the Rfam family "Bacterial small subunit ribosomal RNA", at positions 354 to 796 of the family's 1533-position model. The record is from RNAcentral.